RNAcentral lists this ribosomal RNA (505 nucleotides) under uncultured bacterium. RNAcentral describes it as "partial 16S ribosomal RNA". It matches the Rfam family "Bacterial small subunit ribosomal RNA", at positions 28 to 507 of the family's 1533-position model. The record is from RNAcentral.
GACGAACGCUGGCGGCGUGCCUAAUACAUGCAAGUAGAACGCACAGUUUAUACCGUAGCUUGCUACACCAUAGACUGUGAGUUGCGAACGGGUGAGUAACGCGUAGGUAACCUGCCUGGUAGCGGGGGAUAACUAUUGGAAACGAUAGCUAAUACCGCAUAAUAUUGAUUAUUGCAUGAUAAUUAAUUGAAAGGUGCAAUUGCACCACUACCAGAUGGACCUGCGUUGUAUUAGCUAGUAGGUGAGGUAACGGCUCACCUAGGCGACGAUACAUAGCCGACCUGAGAGGGUGAUCGGCCACACUGGGACUGAGACACGGCCCAGACUCCUACGGGAGGCAGCAGUAGGGAAUCUUCGGCAAUGGACGAAAGUCUGACCGAGCAACGCCGCAUGAGUGAAGAAGGUUUUCGGAUCGUAAAGCUCUGUUGUAAGAGAAGAACGGGUGUGGGAGUGGAAAGUUCACACUGUGACGGUAUCUUACCAGAAAGGGACGGCUAACUACGUG